UCCGGUUCAAGUAAGUGCCCAGCCAUAACAAUUUUGUAGGCUCCGGGCACUUUAUUCAAGUGGGUACGUGAAUAUGUAAAUGUCAAAAUCUAGGGUUUGUUGCUGCUUUGUUGGGUUACCUUGGUCAAUGACACAGGAUAUAUAAGCAUGGACCUAUUAAUAAGAUUAAUUAAACUUAUUAAAGUAUGUGGCUCUAGUGACCGAAAUGCAAGAUAAUGAAUACGGUAUUAUCACAUCUUCACAAAUGUGGUCAAAAGAACAUGAUGUUUUAUUAGACAACCGUGGACGAUUUCAUUUUUCUCAACCAAUUCAGGAAGCUAAGAACUUUAUAUCAAAUAAAGUACAGUAUCAACAAAUGCAAUUUAUGACAGUUUUUUUUAAAUAGGUACCAUGCUUUGUGUACAGGAUAGCUAAAAUUCGUUAAUUAUAUACAUUUUAGUUAAAGGAAAUUUUUUGUAAAUAUGUUAAAUAUGAAAAAAAUAAGAAUUUUUAAUAAAUAAUGUAUUAUUUAUUAAUAAAGGUUUUUUGUUUGUAAAUAUUAAUAUUUAUUGUAGUACAAGCAAUAGAUAGCUGCCAAAUUAACUUAAUUGGUUUGGUUAUUACCAUUUAUAAAGAAAUAAAAUAUGUCUUUAUUAGAUAUUACUAUGUCAACCUUUUGUCAUGAAGUUACCAUCACAAAGUUACCAUAAUUUUUUUUUUCAUUUAUCAAUUUAUUAAUAUUAGUUGAUAAAAUUUCUUUUAUUUUUUAGUGUCAUUUUAAAGCUACAUGUAUAUUUAAUGCAUACCAUAUCCCUAAAGUAUAUUAUAAGCCUUCAUUUCACAGAUUUUUUUGAAAAUGUAUAUAUAGCUUAAAAAUCUUCGUCCAUUUUGAUGUCAUGAAGUUACCGACAUUAUUAAAAUUAAUAAUUAAUAUAUGGAAGGUGAUAUUUAUUUUUUUUUCUUGUAGGAAUAAAGUUACAUAUAGUAGGAACAAUGUGUAUAUAUGGUUUGGUCAAUUUUGAAUAAAUUAUGUGUUUUUAAAAAAGUUAAAGUGUUGAAUUUGUUGUAAAAGUGUCAUGAAGUUACCGUGGAAUUGCCUAAAAACAACAACACAUAUAAUCAUAGCCUAGGUAUAGACUGGAAUGAUGAUCAUUUAUUAAAAGAAGGCCAGCCUAGACUACAUAGGCCUAAUCAGUUGUUUUAUUAUUUUACAAUCUCAAAAUUUUUACUGGUUGGCCAGUUAUGUUUACCGGUAACAUUGACGGCUAAAAUGGCUUCGGGAGAAUACUGAGGUACUGUAUAUGUAGUUUUUUUACAGGAUAUACUGUGGAAUACAGGUACAUGAAAAGUUCGCCUUUUUAAUUUUUUCUUUUAGUAUUCUCCACCCGUGUCAAAAGAGCUCAAGACAGGCAGACUUUCCAGCAGUUUGCGCAAUGAGUUUGCAAGAAAUGUGUGUUCUAUGAUCAGAGUCCACAAAUGAAUCCCACUAAGAGUGAAAGGGAGCAUGUGUGUUUUCAAAUAAGAAAUAUCCAUUCUUGGCAGGCACCAUGGGUUCGGGCAUAGUAAGUACAAUCAUCUAACUAAAACCCUUACAGACAAAUGUCUUGCAAGUACUGUCACCGUAUCUGCUUGAGUAAGCACCCACCCAGAAUCCAUUUAACCAUGGAACACUUUAAUUAUCUUAUCAAGCACUAAAAUAUUUUUAUAAAAAAUACAUGUCCAAUACAAACAUUUUUAUGUCUUGAGAAACUGGUAAUGCAACUUGCAAUCUUAAACUAAAAGGAACAAGUAUCACUUAAAAUUUUUAAGUUUCUUUAUAGUCCGGUUCAAGUAAGUGCCCAGCCAUAACAAUUUUGUAGGCUCCGGGCACUUUAUUCAAGUGGGUACGUGAAUAUGUAAAUGUCAAAAUCUAGGGUUUGUUGCUGCUUUGUUGGGUUACCUUGGUCAAUGACACAGCAUAUAUAAGCAUGGACCUACAGUAUUAAUAAGAUUAAUUAAACUUAUUAAUAGGUCCAUGAUGUGAGGCAGUUGGAACAGAGAAUGGAGAGACUGAUGAUAUGCAGGGAGCAUGUACAAGACUUAAAGAAAGAAAUGUCAAAGUUGAGACACCGUAACUACUGGACACUCUAACUACUGGACAAACAUGCUCCUGUAAAAAAGUGUGUCACUUUUCUGCGUCCAUACUGCAAAUGGUAUACAGCUGAGAUCUUAGAAGCUAAAAAAAAGAGACGUCAUGCAGAAAGGAAUUGGCAUGUCUAAGUUAGAAGUUCACCGGCAAAUUUUUUGUAGUACUUGCAAACAUGUCAAUUUCCUCAUCCAUGCAGCCAAGGUUGAUUACUACUCGAACCUUAUUUCGCAAAAUGCACAUGACCAGAAAUUUCUUUUCAAAAUUAUUUCAACCUUAUCUAAUGCACGAAAUGACAAUGGUUUCCAUCAUGUACUUCUAAAAAAGAACUCUCUGAAAAAUUUAACAAUCACUUCAUCCAAAAAGUGAACGACAUGCGUGCAAUUAUUGAUGCUGAGAACAAUACUGUUGAUUUUAGUGACCUAGAAGCCAUAUCAUUGACUUCCAUAAAUAUAUUUAUAAAAAAUGUGUCUGAAGAUGAUGUUCAGAUAUUAAUUAACAAUCUAACCACUAAAACAUGUCUGCUUGAUCCACUACCAACUACAAUUGUCAAACAGUGUCUACACAAGCUCCAGUUUAUUAUUACACAGAUUAUUAAUCUGUCUCUGGAAAAUGGUGUUUUUUUUCUGACUCACUCAAGUUAGCAGUUGUGCUGCCACUUUUAAAGAAACCAACGCUUGAUCGGGAGAUUCUUCGAAACUACAGACCAAUUUACCAUUUAUUGCGAAAGUAAUGGAAAAAGUUGUUGCCUCUAAGCUGACUACCUAUCUUCACAAUAAUUCUUUGUCAGAGCCUUUUCAAUCAGCAUACAGAAAAUUUAGCAGUACUGAAACAGCUCUCAUUGCUGUUGAGAAUGACAUCUUGUUAUCACUUGACAGUGGACAAUGUGUGCUGUUCACACUUUUAGACUUAUCCGCUGCAGUUGACACGAUAGACCACGAAAUCCUCCUACGUUGAUUAUCAGAUUUGGGAAUUGGGUAUUUAGCUCUCCAGUGGAUGCGUACAUAUUUAACAGGCAGACUUCAAUUUGUUAAUAUUGACGGCCAUUUAUCUUCUUCGCAAUGUGUAUGUUCCGGAGUGCCUCAGGGCUCUGUCCUGGGCCCAAUCUUGUUUAACAUCUAUAUGCUUGGAUUGGGGAAACUAAUACAGCGUCAUAAUCUCAAUUUUCAUCAGGAUGCUGAUGACACUCAAAUAUAUAUAUCUUUCUCUCGGUCAGAUUUUCUGCUGUUAUCAACUCAGUUGAGGUAUGUUUUAGUGCUAUAAAGAAGUGGAUGACACAGAAUAAACUAAAGCUUAAUGAUUCAAAAAUGGAAGUUGUAAUUUUUCAGUCAAGGUUUAUCCCUCACCAUUAAAAGUUGGGGGUGUGAACAUUGGUUCCUGUCUCAUUCAGCCUGUAACAUCAGCCAGGAAUCUUGGUGUUCUUUUUGAUACUUCGCUUACUCACCAACAACAUGUCAUGAAUAUGUCUCGUUCAAUUUUCUUCGAAAGAUUGGUCAAAUCAGGAAGUAUUUAUCGCAGCAUACAUGUGAAAUACUUGUUCAUGUCCUGGUAUCGUCCAGGCUUGAUUAUUGCAAUGCCUUGCUAUAUGGACUACCCGAUACAUUCAUUUUAUGCCUUCAAAGAGCACAAAAUGCAGCUGUCAGAAUCAUUGCUAAGAAGAGGAAGUCUGAUCACAUCACACCAGUUUUAAAAUAUCUCCACUGGCUUCCAGUUCACUACAGAAUUGAAUUCAAAAUCCAAUUGUUAACUUAUAAAGCUCUCAAUGGUCAUGCUCCUAACUAUAUAUGCAACAUUAUUCAGUAUUUGCAACCAUCAAGAUCCCUUUGGUCUUCUGAAAAAACAUUGGUUAUACACACCAAGAUGGAAAUUAAAAUCUUUCGGGAAGCGUUCUUUUUCCUGUGCUGCACCAUAUUUAUGGAACAAAGUGCCCAUUGAAAUAUGGAACUCUCCAAAUCUGAAUGUGUUCAAGAGCAAUCUGAAAGCUUUCCUUUUUUCAAGAGCAUUCUGGACAAGUGUGACACCUACACUGAAUAUUUCUGGAUAUUGGCACUAUAUAAAUAUUUUGAUUGAUUGAUUGAUAGAACAAUGAUUUAAUUGACAACCUAAUGGAGGCAACCUAUAGCUACCGGCGUAGAAACAUCCUUGAAAAUCAGGUGUCGAUAAAUAACGUCAUGCUGGAAUAUUCUGCACUUCAGUUAGUGUCAGAGAUCAAGGCAGAAUUUUCAAGAAUACUUGGGGAGGAGAAAUUAGGAAUAUGGGACGUGCCUUCAAAACAAUGCAGUCAAGUGUUUUUAAUCUGGCUAUGGCUAAGGGGGUGCUGAAAGACCUCAACAUCAACAACCUUAUUGAGGAAUAUCCCAGCAGACAAUCAGGUACCGUAUUUAUUGCACAUGUAUGUAUCCCAAUGAAUUAUAGAAACUUCAUUUUUAAUUUUAUUUAUUUUAUUACAUGUACAGGUACAGUAUGUCAUGGAUUAUUUCAUUAAAAUUAUGAUAAUACCUGUAAUAUCUAUUGAAGAGGACAGAAGUUCAAUUACAAUAUAUAAUUUCAGUUUUGGUGUCUGAGGCGCACGGUAUUAUUACUAUAACGUGAUGAUCACUGAGGCAUUUCCCCUUCCCGGAGGUGCCGGCGAUUGUGGGCAAUCCCAAAUUUAAAAAUUAAAAUGUUGAUGUGUUUACUAUGUAUUCUGUGUGUGUAUGUUUUGUAUGUUUGGUAUUCAAACUGACAAGCCACCGCUUCUUUUGAUGCCUAUGUAAACAAUUUGCAAUUUGUAAUUUGUUGUGAAUUUUUUCUGAAUAAAUGUUUCUGAUAGUGUUGACAAAUAAAAAAGAUAACCAAUUGGUGAUCAACAAAGACACCAGAAAUGACAAAAAACAGAAAAUUUGGAUUGUUAAGUGAGAUUUACGUAGGGAAACAAAUGUUUCUUCAGAAGCCGACGAAAACCAAGAUAAGAAGAAGCAUGUUGUAACUUGCUAGGAAGACUAUUCCAAAGCCUAGGUGAAGCAAAUUGAAAAGGCCUUAUCACCAGAUUUUUUAUUAGACUGAGGUAUACAAAGACAAAAUGAACCAGAUGAACGAAGAUUAUGGCCAUGGCGAUAUUGUUGCCUAGAGGUAAGUGUACAGAUGUAAACAGGGGUACUGUUUUGGCAAUUAAUUGAACAAAAUGUGAUGGAAAGUGUACAAAAAAUAACUCUCUGUCUAAUCAGAUCUUCAACCAAUGAAGUAGUGGACUAGCAGUAUGAAAUUUAGGAAGGCGAAACAAUACAAUAUACUGUAAACACUUUAUGUUUAUCUUUGUUAUUGACUGUUUAAUUUUAAUGUUUAACUGCACCCACAGAAAUUGAAGGAAUGGCUAGCGUACUUGCAAUCCUCUGCUGCUUAGGGAGACUGGGACAGACAGUGCCAUUAUGAAAAUUUUCUCUAGAAAAAGUCUAGAAAAAACAAAAAUACAAAAUAGCUAUACCCUAAGCCUAAAGCCCCUUUGAUAGCCUUUUGAAAAGAUCUAAAUGCUGAGUAUCUAUAUAUUUGACCUAAUAUAACCACACACCAUCGUUAGAAGGCUAGUACAGUAGUAAUAUAAAUACUAUUAUUGUAGCAAUAGAAGAAUGGGAAAUAAAUUAUUUUCAUUUUAAAGCAGUAAUAAAGAUGAAAAGACAAUAGCAAAAUGGUAUAGGCUAUAUGCCUUUAUGGUAGAGUGUUGGAAAAUGUUUGUCCCCGUUCAUAUACCGUACCAACGUGAAUAAAUACCCUGUACGAAUAAGCGUUCAACCUUGGGGAAAGGUUUUCUUCGCCCCAUUUGAAUUACCUCACCUUUUAAAUUGUUGAAUACUAAAUACAGUAUUUCGACUGAUGCUCAAAUGCGCACAUAUAUUUGGAUUUUAAACCUUAUAUCUUAGCCUAAAGUUUGAGACAUCAAUCACACUAUCGAAUAUCUUUAAGGUGCAGUUAUAUCGAGUAAAUUUGGAAAGUUGAUAUCAAGUAAACAGUUUUCAUCAGAGAACUAAUUAUACAAAAAAUUAUUAAUACAAAACAAUGGAGAAUGCUACAUUACAGGUGACGGUGCCCUACAAAUUUUCAAUAGUCACUAUUAUUUUCCCUUUCGAGUAAGUUUAUAGGAAUAGAUAUAAUAUAAUGGGUUAUGAACAGGAUUGAUUGCAGUUAAACACAUACAUAACCCUAGGCUCGUUCUGCCCGACUAAAAGUAAUAUCUAUUUUGAUUUGUAUAUUAAACAAAUUCUCCCUGCCUACUUAUUUUUUAGAAAGAAAGGAUGUAAUAAGUUGCUUGUAAUUGUUUUUAGAUUAAAAUCUGUAUCUGUUCUUUCUUCAUUUUCUCUUUGUUUUGAUUUCUAUUAGGAGAAUGAAUCCAUUGAUCAGAGCAUUAAGGAG
Long non-coding RNA from Anneissia japonica, 6490 nucleotides. RefSeq lists it as uncharacterized. The record is from RefSeq and is a predicted model, not a curated record. The transcript is spliced from 2 exons. NCBI's taxonomy places the organism in Eukaryota, Metazoa, Echinodermata, Crinoidea, Comatulida, Comatulidae.